AGCCCGGGAGCCGGUGGAGGCGCCAAGAGGGCAGCGCGGCCCCGCCCCCACGCGGCCCUCCCCACGUGCGGGAGAGCAGCGGAGGCUCUGGUGGGCCCGGGGCGGGGUACGGCCGACCGGGCGGGCUGGGCUCCCCCGUGCGAGGCGCGGAGAAGCCUUUCCCGGAUCUCGCACCCCCGUAAUCUGAGCCUGUCCUCUCCCCAGCAUUUCCCUGGCAGCCGGCGAGGGGCCAGGAGGAGCGGAGCGCCCGCGGUGCCUCGCUGCGUACAGCCGAGGAAUCGCCUCUCCAAUGUGCCCCAGCUCACCUGGUCGUCCCUCUCUGGAGUCAGUAGGAAAUUAAAUGCACAUCCUCGCUCGCAGCCACCGCGCGUCCUUCUCCGGGCUGCCCUCAGUUGGCCGGCGCCGCUCCUCCCGUCCUCAGGUACUUCUCCAUGUCUGCAAACGACGGAGAAGCGUUAAUGUCUCCUCGGCGCACACCCGUCUCCAUGUGUGCGCAGGAAUGCGCAUGUAGAAAAGGUUAUACCCUGCCACGCACAGCUACCUCCGCGGCUGUUUCCUGAGAGACUGCGAGAGAGAAGAAAGGCAGGAGACAUCACAUGACCAGAAACCUGGGGAGGUUCAAGUAACUUUUCUACUUGUCGGGAUUUUCACUCAACACAUUGGGGUGGUUUUGCUCUUUGAUCUGGAUUGAGAAAAGGAAAACUGAAUAUUGCUAUGCAUACAAGGUUGUUUUCGGGAUGGUGUGGUUUUUAGAUAAAGUAGUCACACAUUUCAAAGCACUUAAGCUGAAUAUUUCAGGCUUAUUCUCAGAAUUUGGUGGGUAUCCAAGUGUAACAUUAACUAAGCCUCUCAGUAAUGAUUAUUAGAAUGGUCAGUUUGCUGGUUUGAUCUGAAGCACCUUCUAACAGAAGCAGAUUCUUUCUUGCCUUACAUAUAUAAUCAGAGGCUGACCUAAAUGUAGAGUCUUUGCUGGAGGAUGUGAUGAGCAGAUAGGAAGAGGUUUUUCCCUCUAGACAAAAGCCUGAGGACACUCUUGGUACUCUAUAUACUUACAAGAAUAAUAUCAGUAGGUAACGCCUUGAGAUCAUACUGAGUGAACGAAUCAUUUAGGUGGUCUGUCAAGAUGCCACACUACAACCGUCCUUGUGCAAGGUUUUCAGUGAAGGAUGCCGUGAGAAGGAUGGAAAAAGGACCACUUCCUCACUCCCACUGAAGAGGACCCUACAGUUAUUCAUUUCCUCUGCCUGAUGCUCAUGACCCUUGCUCUGCCAGCAGCAGAAUCACACAGUUCUAGCUGCAAUUACUAGAGGACAGUAACUUGAAAACAGCAUAAACAUUCAACCACCAACAAACAUUAAAAGCCUUGUUGGUAUAUCUCAGCAUGGCUGUGGGCUGUAAAACAAGUCUUGUGUGAUUGAUAACAUACCACACAAUCCUUUUGAGCAUCCUGUAAAAGAAGAGCAGACAAGAGUAACACAGUUUGACAGAGACCUCUGGAUAAGUGGUCUCUGUCCUGAAUAAUUGCCACAUGGACAAGGAACUGGCAGGAACACUCUUCACAAAGAACCCUGCUUGUUUUCUCCAGAGCCAGUGCGUAUCUGAAUAAUCAUUUCUGGAUCCAGUAAUGGCAUCCAGCCUGACACAUUUUCUCCUUCUUUUUCAUUUCUGUUCAUUCCACCCUGGCCUACCAGUCAUAAUGUCUGUAUGCUUCCAUUCAUGAUAGCUAGCAGUGAUGACAGUGCUGUUCCUCUUCCUAAAUCCAGCAGGUAGACCUGCCAAGGACCUCACAGCUGUAGGAGGAAAUAAAACUCAGCAGCAACAUCUGUGCCUAGCUCAUUGUAUAACACCUUUAUGCCAAGCCUGCCAAUUUUCUGGUGCCAUGGUAGAAGUAAAUCAAACAGCUAUUAGCUGUAACAAUGGCAGGGAAUCCACAGAUCUUAAAAAUAGUUCUGAGAUCCUUUAUGUCCAAACAGUCUGAUCUUUACCAUCACCACCUCUUUACAAAAAGCUGCAUGGCUUUUUCCUUUUAAAUCUCUGUUAUUCCCUCCAGCAACGUAGUUGGCACAACACUACUUUAUUGCUUGUGUGCCAGUCGCAGUCUCUGAGAACAGUGUUUCCAAAGCCAUUUAAUCAUAGUGUCCAAAGUUAUAAUCUAAACCAAACAUCUUUGAAAAUCAUAUGAUUUGGACUUCAGUAGUAGGCAUUUGCCUAUCUAAUGACAAAGUGUUUUGGACACAGUGUUCCUUCAACCUCUUCUGUGCAUAAAUACGUAGAAGUCCAGGAGUCAUAAAAAAGUUUCCCAUGUGGUUUCUGGAAAGAGAAAAUUGCACUGGAGAUUUCUGAGGAAAGUAACAUUUCAGUUCUAGUAUUUGAUUAAUAUUAAAAUCAAUCAUCUUAUCUUUGUAAUUAAUGAAAAGCUGUCUCCAAAAGAAAUAUAAAGAAAUAAAAUAUAUUUUUGCAAAACAAAAUUCUCACUUUUCUUGAGUUCUACUUUACUGAUAAGAUAUUUUUAAAAAGUAUUUUUUCUAUUCCACAAUAAAAGCAUACCUGUUGAAUUUGAUUGCUCUUCCUGAGAUCUGUAAAUUAGAGAGCUCUAGCUGUUCUACGUCAUAACUUUCUUUGCUACACCCAAUGAAUUUGUAAUUUUUAUGAUGUCUGGAUACUAAUCUUACCAAUAAAUCAGGAAUAGGAAAAUCCUUUA
Vidua chalybeata is the source of this 2701-nucleotide long non-coding RNA. RefSeq lists it as uncharacterized. Lineage: Eukaryota; Metazoa; Chordata; Aves; Passeriformes; Viduidae. The transcript is spliced from 2 exons. The record is from RefSeq and is a predicted model, not a curated record.